Molecule: long non-coding RNA, 7285 nt
Filed under: Lactuca sativa (garden lettuce)
Lineage: Eukaryota; Viridiplantae; Streptophyta; Magnoliopsida; Asterales; Asteraceae
Description: long non-coding RNA (LSAT_LNC003876)
Source: RNAcentral
UGACUUCUGGUUUUAACACCAUCGCCCAGCUGGCCAAUGAUGUUCUUGAUCGGAUGAACGCGUUGAAUUCUUGAGGGUAUCUCCUAGCUGAUAUCAUUAAGCGAGAUGGGAAGAUUGUGAAUAUUGACACCUCAUUUGCUGAUUGUUUAACACCGGAUGAAUCUGAUGGGUUUUGUACAAACGAUCCUAUGUGUGCAUGCAACCCUAGAACUGGAUCUAUGUUUUCACUAUUAGAUACACAACAUUAUGAACACAUGAAGAACACUAAAAGGCUUCUAGGAAUUUCGAAAUCCACAAGGAAAGAUGAAAUACAUACCUCUUGUUGUUAUAUUGUAAUAACAACUUAAAUCUUGAAUCUUCUUGUCUUUGAAAGCAAGUACCACAAGUGUAGUACCUCUAAUGGCUCACAAACACUAAGAGCAAAUGGAGAGGUAAUAAAGAGAGGGAAUAGGUGUGAAAUUCGUCCCUAGGAACCCUAGACAAGGCAUGGACGAAUUACAUUAUCCAAGGGGUAUUUAUAUAAGUGUAGGGAUUAGGGUUUCAGUCCUUAUCCUUAUCUUGUUGCUUGUCCACCAAGCAACCCAUAAGAUAAGCCUUGAAUCCUUAUCAUGGACGAAUUCUAAGGCCUUAUAACCUUAAAUUCGUUCAACCUAUCCAUGGGGUAACCAAUGCCCUAAUUUGCAACUAUCACAUAAUUACAAUUCAGCCCCUCUAGUUUAAUUAAUUACACUUGAUCACAAAAUUAAUUCUUAAUUAAUUAUUGACCGAUAUUAAUUAAACAAAUAUGAUUUCUCCUUUAAUAUAUUAUUCUUAUAACAUAUUAAUAAAUCAUAAUAACCUCUUUCUCUAUGCACAAUCGGGUCAAGUACUUGACAAAUAUGGUUACAAGCUUAGACAUUAAUCCAACAGUCUCCCACUUGGAUAAGUCUAGUAACCACAAAUGCAACUACAACUCAAUUAGCAAUCGUAGCUCUCAAAGAUGUUGUCGAACGCUGAUCUUAUCAGUUCCUUGUCCUUUAGAUAAGGGAUCAUAUAUUCCUCCAUUCUAGAUAUCGUAUAGACGUGAGACAUGGAUUGAAAUCAUUCUCUCAGUCUAUGUGUUGUUUCCCGAUUUCCGAUUUACGACGACUGACUAAUUGAACAAAUCAAAUUAGCCCUAGCCCGGCCGAGCAUUUACGUUUGUCAUCACUAAAUCAUCGAGGGGCCCAUAGAUAUCGCUUUUAUCCCACUUUGGGUAAAAGGAACGGAUAAACUUCGACUCAAUGCUUGCUUGCACUCACUCACCAAAUCACACACAACAAUAAGUUUUAUAACACCAAGUUACUGGUGUGUUUACAUAUUAUCAAUGUGUAACCGAUUCGCAAGAUAGAACUCACACAUCUCGGUUUCAAAAAUACAAGAUAUUAUCCUCUCACCAAUCACUCGUGAUAAAAUCCAUGAAGUGAUCCAAGUGAGCGUGGGUUUAAUCUAAUGCUCAAAAUAAUAUUCAUAAGCACUCAUGAACGUUGCAGCAAACCUUUUCUAUGUCUAAUACACUUUAGACAAUCUACAAACAGACUCAUGACAGUCUUCAUUCAUACCUACUUCCAACAUAUGAACGACUGCAGACCGUUUGAAUAAUUCGAUUAUUCUUAAUAAACUCAAUUAUUCUGGAAGUCAAAACAUGCAAAGAGAAACACAAUGAUAAUACUUAAUCUUAUAUGACCCCAAACUUGUGAGUAUAAAUAAAACACCUUUAUUUAAUCACCAUAUUGAUUACUCAUUAUCCAUUGUUUAAUGUUUCAGAUAAUCAACUUUAUAACUCGAAUCAUAACCACAAUUGUCCCAUGCUCCAAGCAUGCACACUUUGGUUUCCUAUGGUCCAUACUUUGUGAAAUAGAUCAAUUGAAAAACUUUUCAAAUGAAACUCAUUUCACAAUCCCCAAUCCUUAUAAUUAGUGUAAGAAUACCAAAUUCUUGCCACCUUUUAGAAUAUGUCAAAUUCUAAUAUUUUAUGCAAUGAUCCUCUUGUGAAGUCACGGCACAAAAAUCACAAAGACUCGGCCAACGAAAUUACAAGGAACUCUAUCAAAAAUUGUUACAGAACAAUUCUAUAGAUGUGAUGUCUCUCACUCAAAGUACAUUCCUUUGAACAUCCUUUUGCAUAAAAUUUUCUAAUCUAGACAUAAAUUCUUAAUUUCCAACUCCCAAUUAUGGAAACAUUUCCAUAUUUACCAUAUGACAACUCAUUCUUAAUAGAAUCUUAUCUAUUCAUAAUAAUGUCGAUAUGGUCCAUUCAAUACCAUACUUCCAACUACUCACAAGCGACCAAUCCUCAGCGAACUUUGGAUCGUCCUUUGAUAGUUGUUUAAUUAUCUUAGUCAAAACCGAUUCUUGUCCUUUUUCCCUCUUAAUGCGCUAGACAUUUGGAAAAAUUUUAGAAUGGUCAAAUAUUAUAGCACUUGCAAUCGAUCCUUUACCCGAAGCGUAUGGGACACGAUGCAUAAUGUCUUACAUAAAGAUACGAUACUCUAUCAAUCUUCUGCCAUAAUAUUUUAUGUGUCACGUUCUUACAAUUCGAACUAUGAAGAGGGAUACCGUAAUCAUAAUCGAAAUUUAAGAACACACUAUGUAUCCUUUGACUAAAUUUAUUAAAAUUUCUCAAUCUAAGCUUUAGAUUUUGAACGAAGUACAAUAUUCUCUCCCUUAAUUAUAGAAAAACAACUUUUCAACUCUUACAACUUUGCAAAGUAUAACUCUUGUUUUCUAUAAUUAAUAUUGCUAACUUGCAAUACUUACCAUAAUAAUCAUGCUCCCACUUACAUGAUGAUUAUUUCUUUAUCAUCAUAACACUUAUGCUCCCACUAGCUUCGACAUGUAUUCAGAAAUCAGCUGAACUUCUAGAAAACAAUUUCUUUAGAUCAUAUUUCUAAUACUAGAUGCUUUGAUAAGACUUUAUCUAAGCUUCUCAUACUUAUACACUUUUCCUUGGACAGCUCAUAUGUAUAUGUUUAAACGAUUCUAGGACUCAUAUCAACAAGUCUAAAAUGUUCAGACCCAUUUGCCAUUUCCCACAAUUCGAACUAUGAAGAGGUAUGCCGUAAUCAUAGUUGAAUUUGAGAAACCCAAAUCACAUAAUGCUAUCUUCAAAAUCUCUCUUAGUGAAAGCGUUUCCUCACAACCAUUUUCAUGAAUGAGAGAAACCUUAUGACACUUAGAUUUUGUGGUGUAUACAUUCCCAUCGAUGUGAAUUCGUCAUAACCAUAAGUACAAGAUAAUGUUAGUGACAAAUCCAAACUCUUAUGGAUAGAACUUCUUCUUCUUAAUUUCUUGCCAUCAAGGGUCCCACCAUUACUUCCAAUUUAUUGAGCAUCUCACCCCUUCAUUUCAAUGUACUUUCCAUUGAACAAGGUGUCUUGCCCCUAUACAAUCCAUUGAGAACUCGUAGAACUCACAUAUACAGAAAACUCAAUUGGAAUGGCACAGAAAACAAAAUAGUGUCAACACGAUAGGUUGUAAACCUCAAGUCGUGUGCUAGUGAUGAUUGAUAAGGUUUAUUCUUGAUUUGUUCUUGAAACCUUUCAAGACCAUUAAGACUCCCACUGACUCCUUGACAUAUAAGAUUCUCUUGUCAAUAAACAUUUCUCGACAAACAAAUAUUCAAGAGUUAGUGUAGCUUUUAUCAAGACAAAACACUUCACAAAAUUGGUCCUAGUUGGUCUUUGUCUUAUCCAAGACAUCACAACUUUCCACAUUUGAUGAAUGUUAUAAACCUUCUUAAGACUUGUCACUCAAUGUUACAAUCUUAACUCUAAGACUUGUUUUGGAACGAAGUAUGAUUGGCUUCUUGAUUUAACUAUUUCUUCAAUUCUUGAUUCCUCUUCUUAGACAUACAAUUGCACUAAGACUCACUUAGAGGAUUAAUUGAGAUAUGGUUCUUCAUCAUUAAGACCUAUCAUAAAACAUAAUAAAAGGUACUCUCCCUUCUUCUUAGAAUAGAGUAACUUUUAUCUUUCUGCCUACUUGAUUCUUCUUAUUCGUUCUACUAUUGAUUGAGACUUUUUCAAUCAAUUCAGAAUUACACUUAAUCUCAUAAGUAAAAUCAUAUUUACUUAACCUUAGUAAAUCAUGACGAAUAUCUUUGUUACUCUUGUGGUGGAUUUGAUCAACACACAACUUUGUGUACUCGAUCUCCUAGUCCUACACUUGACACUUUGUCAAAGAAUUUGUCUAAAUUUCCAAAUAUGAAAUUUCUCAUUCAUCAUGCAAUCAAGUUGUAUGAUUCUAAGUUUCUAUCCAAUUGAAACUUGGGCGAUGAGAAACUUUCCCUAUUUGGUAAAUUCUUGACCUUUCCACAAAUAAUACAAUUAAGAAUCAAAUCCAUUUUGCUAAUAAUAGAAGUACACAAACAUCAAUUUUUUUCAUAUACGCCAUUGUAAGGAUAAACAAAUAAGAUAAAACCAAAAUUUAUUUUAUUCAUAAAAGUAGCGGAAAACAUGUCCUUACAAUGUAAAAUUCAAAUGAAAAACUAUGUAAUCAAAUACUCCUAACAAAUUUAUCAUAACUUCCUAAGCUCAAAAUCUGAUCUUUGAAUCCAUGCGAUCGUAAUCCAUUUCUUCGUGAUCAGACUCAUCUUGCUCUUCCAUCAAACUUCCUCUCUUUUCUCUAAUCCUGCAAACAUGCAAAUCUAAUCUUAUCACAUUAUGUAUAAAGAAUAGGAAUUUAAUGGAGUUAGAUAUUGGAUUUUAUACUUGAAGUAGAGCCAUACUUCUUGACUCUCCCAUCUCUUAGACUCUUCAGGUCCUUUGGGCAGCUUCGUAUCCAUUGUCCCUUCUCUUGGCAGCAGAAACAGGUGGGUUCUUCUAGAGUGUCCACGGAAGUAUGGUUGGUUGAAUUAUCAGACAAAUAUGCUCCAUUGCUUCGCCAAAUCAUUUCUGAUUCAGCAACAAUAAGCAUGUAAGUUAAGUCAAUGAGGGUCGCGUCAAGAUCCAUCAUAUAAUACUCUCUUAUGAACUUAUCAUAUGAUUUAGGGAGUGACUUAAGAACCCAGUCCACAGCCAACUUAUUGGGGAAAGACGCACCCAACAUAAUCAACCUAUCAAUGUGUGAUUUCAUCCUUAGGACGUGAGCACACACGGGUUUACCAUCUUCACGUUCCAUUGCCAAUAAGGUUUCGAUGAUCUUGAACUUUUCAAAUCGUCGAUCUUGUGGGUCAGGGAGAACAACGGGAGGAGGAGGAGGGAGUGAAAUAGAGCUAGUCCACAUUGAUCCUUCACUUUGGAACAAGCUUUCACUUUCAACAGGAAUACCUUUUCCUUGGGAUUCGGGAAGACCACAGUUAGAAUUAGACAUCUACAAAACGGGAGAAAAAUUAAAUUCAAGUUAGUUGAUUGAUUGAGUCCUUAAUAAAUCACCCAAAUGAGAUAUUAAGGCUAGGACCCAACACAAUACUCUACAACCUAGAAAAGGGAUGUCGUAAUCUAGUUGCAGAAUAUUUGAAGGUAAGUGAAUGACGAUUCACUAAUUUCCACCACGAAAAAUGAAAAAGAAAUUUAAGUUUUAAAUCUAUUGAAAAUUCCUAGAUCUUUUGAGAUUCAUUGAACUUUUCAAUGGCAUGUUUAAAUCUCGAUAUGCCCCUCGAUUUGUGACUGGGAUGCCGAGGAUCACAAAACAGGGUGUGAAUAACCAUGCAAACUUACAUGGUGCCCCCAAUGUUACAGUCACCUAUUCGAUGUGUCGGUUAACCACACACGCUCCACCGAACUAUGACAAACAUUGAGUCACCCUUUGCUACCUUUGCUUAGAACCAUUUAGUGUGUCGGUUAACCACACACGCUCCACUAACGUCUUCGCAAGGGCACAAAGUGUAAUUUCAUGGAAUUGCAUCAAUUCACUUUUGCCUAAAGUAACUAAGAUUGGGAAUUUUGUAAAAACAUUUAGUUACUUUAUACUUCAUUAUACUUUUAAUGGAAAGGGUUUGCCCUAUCCUACCCGUUCGGCUAACGACCCUCCACCAAUCAAGGAAGCGGUGGGUGAGAGUGGACACCCAUUAAACGACCAUUUUAUAGGCCAUAACCUUAUACCCCCCUUAUAGAUCGGCUUCGUGAAUGAGGCCUACUAACGGUAAGACUAGCAUUUUAGUUAUACAUAUAUAAUAUUAGACUUUUAAUGUUAUACAUAGUAUAAGGGUGUAUUUUACACUUUUAAAAUACUAGGUGGUUUAAAUUAAACUUUUAAUUAACCAAAAUCAUUAUGGAUUUAUUAACUCUCUUUUAAUUAUACACUUAAUUAAUUUAAUAAAACCAUAAGGGUGUAAUUUGAACUUUUCAAAAUUAGGGUUUUAGAAUUUAGACUUUUUCAAAAUUAAACCUUUUAAUCAAACAAUUUAAAUUCCAAAACUUGAGGGCAAGUUUUGAAACUUUUCAAAACAUAAGCAAGAACAUUCUAGAUCAAAUUACAAAUAAUAAUAAUUAACCAAUUAAUUAGUAAUUAUCUAAAUAUGACCUAAUUCAAUUUCUUGCAAGAUAAUCUAUCAAAUAAUUCAAAUAAAUCAAGUUUAUCACAUAAGGAAAUGAUUAUCUAAUUAAUUUGACAAUUAUCUUUUAUUUUGGUAAGGAUAUCUUUUAAAUUAAACAAUUAAUUUAAUCUAAUCCCUUAAAUCCCCUAGAUUUCGAAAUUAUGGGAUGGGAUAAAUCAAAAUCUUUAAUUACCAAAUUUAAACAUUUAAAGGAUAAUUACAAGAUAUGGCAUUAUCCAAAUCCCUAAAAUUUAGGAUCUAACCUUGGGAAGGAGGCAAUUUCGAAAUCCAAGGGUUGGAUAACCCUAGAUUUCAAAAUCUUGGAGGCUAAGGAAAGGGUUUAAAACCCUAUCAAAAAAUCGCCAACUAGGGUUUUGCAACCCUAAUUGCGAAAAUUACCAAGCCCUAGGGUUUACUAGCAAUAAACCCUAAUUUGUCAAGUUCAUACAUUAGAAUAAUGCUAAUUGAAAACAAAAACCAAUGGCUCUGAUACCACUGAUGGGUUUUAUACAAACAAUCCUAUGUGUGCAUGCAACCCUAGAGUUGGAUCUAUGUUAUCACUAUUAGUUAUACAACAUUAUGAACACUUGAAGAACCCUAAAAGGCUUCUAGGAAUUUCGAAAUCCACAAGGAAAGAUGAAAUACAUACCUCUUGUUGUUAUAUUGUAAUAACAACUUAAAUCUUGAAUUUUCUUGUCUUUGAAAGCAAGUACCACAAGUGUAGUACCUCUAAUGGCUCACAAACACCAAGAGCAAAUGGAGAGGUAAUAGAGAGAGGGAAGAGGUGUG